RNAcentral lists this ribosomal RNA (503 nucleotides) under uncultured bacterium. RNAcentral describes it as "bacterial SSU rRNA". It matches the Rfam family "Bacterial small subunit ribosomal RNA", at positions 1 to 523 of the family's 1533-position model. The record is from RNAcentral.
UAGAGUUUGAUCCUGGCUCAGGACGAACGCUGGCGGCGUGCCUAACACAUGCAAGUCAAGGGGCUGUUUGUAGCAAUACUUACAGUCACUGGCGUACGGGUGAGUAACGCGUAGAUUACCUGCCCUCAACUCAGGCAUAACAUUUCUAACGAUUUGCUAACACCUGAUGAGGAGGAAGCUCCAAACUUUGGUUGAGGAUGGGUCUGCGUCUGAUUAGCUAGUUGGUGAGGUAAUGGCUCACCAAGGCGAUGAUCAGUAGCCGGCCUGAGAGGGUGAUCGGCCACACUGGGACUGAGACACGGCCCAGACUCCUACGGGAGGCAGCAGUGGGGAAUAUUGGACAAUGGGCGCAAGCCUGAUCCAGCAACGCCGCGUGGAGGAUGAAGAUCUUCGGAUCGUAAACUCCUGUCAGACGGGACGAAGGUGCGCGAGUAAAUAGCUCGUGUGCUUGACGGUACCGUCAGAGGAAGCCCCGGCUAACUACGUGCCAGCAGCCCCGGUCA